RNAcentral lists this long non-coding RNA (245 nucleotides) under Elaeis guineensis (African oil palm). Its description in RNAcentral is "long non-coding RNA (EGUI_LNC018707)". The record is from RNAcentral. Lineage: Eukaryota; Viridiplantae; Streptophyta; Magnoliopsida; Arecales; Arecaceae.
UGGGGCAAAACAUCUCAUUCUGAGUACACAAGGAAUACUACACAAGAUAGACAAAAGCUUCGAAAAGUAGAAGAAAAGUUGACUGCUGUCACUUAAAAGAAUAUCGACUUAGAGGACAAAUAUAUCCAAGUACAAGCCAAGCUAUCUUUCGUGAAACAAAUUUUAGAAAGCUUACAAAGCCAAUAUCAUUAGCAAGCUUAAUCUAAUGGAAUGCAUGCCCCACUAAUUUAUACUACACAGGUAUA